GAUGAACGCUGGCGGCGUGCCUAAUACAUGCAAGUCGAGCGAACGGACGAGAAGCUUGCUUCUCUGAUGUUAGCGGCGGACGGGUGAGUAACACGUGGAUAACCUACCUAUAAGACUGGGAUAACUUCGGGAAACCGGAGCUAAUACCGGAUAAUAUUUUGAACCGCAUGGUUCAAAAGUGAAAGACGGUCUUGCUGUCACUUAUAGAUGGAUCCGCGCUGCAUUAGCUAGUUGGUAAGGUAACGGCUUACCAAGGCAACGAUGCAUAGCCGACCUGAGAGGGUGAUCGGCCACACUGGAACUGAGACACGGUCCAGACUCCUACGGGAGGCAGCAGUAGGGAAUCUUCCGCAAUGGGCGAAAGCCUGACGGAGCAACGCCGCGUGAGUGAUGAAGGUCUUCGGAUCGUAAAACUCUGUUAUUAGGGAAGAACAUAUGUGUAAGUAACUGUGCACAUCUUGACGGUACCUAAUCAGAAAGCCACGGCUAACUACGUGCCAGCAGCCGCGGUAAUACGUAGGUGGCAAGCGUUAUCCGGAAUUAUUGGGCGUAAAGCGCGCGUAGGCGGUUUUUUAAGUCUGAUGUGAAAGCCCACGGCUCAACCGUGGAGGGUCAUUGGAACUGGAAAACUUGAGUGCAGAAGAGGAAAGUGGAAUUCCAUGUGUAGCGGUGAAAUGCGCAGAGAUAUGGAGGAACACCAGUGGCGAAGGCGACUUUCUGGUCUGUAACUGACGCUGAUGUGCGAAAGCGUGGGGAUCAAACAGGAUUAGAUACCCUGGUAGUCCACGCCGUAAACGAUGAGUGCUAAGUGUUAGGGGGUUUCCGCCCCUUAGUGCUGCAGCUAACGCAUUAAGCACUCCGCCUGGGGAGUACGACCGCAAGGUUGAAACUCAAAGGAAUUGACGGGGACCCGCACAAGCGGUGGAGCAUGUGGUUUAAUUCGAAGCAACGCGAAGAACCUUACCAAAUCUUGACAUCCUUUGACAACUCUAGAGAUAGAGCCUUCCCCUUCGGGGGACAAAGUGACAGGUGGUGCAUGGUUGUCGUCAGCUCGUGUCGUGAGAUGUUGGGUUAAGUCCCGCAACGAGCGCAACCCUUAAGCUUAGUUGCCAUCAUUAAGUUGGGCACUCUAAGUUGACUGCCGGUGACAAACCGGAGGAAGGUGGGGAUGACGUCAAAUCAUCAUGCCCCUUAUGAUUUGGGCUACACACGUGCUACAAUGGACAAUACAAAGGGCAGCGAAACCGCGAGGUCAAGCAAAUCCCAUAAAGUUGUUCUCAGUUCGGAUUGUAGUCUGCAACUCGACUACAUGAAGCUGGAAUCGCUAGUAAUCGUAGAUCAGCAUGCUACGGUGAAUACGUUCCCGGGUCU
Molecule: ribosomal RNA, 1371 nt
Filed under: uncultured bacterium
Lineage: Bacteria
Description: bacterial SSU rRNA
Rfam family: Bacterial small subunit ribosomal RNA
Source: RNAcentral